GAUCCUGGCUCAGAAUCAACGCUGGCGGCGUGCCUCAGACAUGCAAGUCGAACGCGAAAGUCCCCUUCGGGGGAUGAGUAGAGUGGCGCACGGGUGAGUAACACGUAGGUAAUCUACCUUCGGGUGGGGAAUAACCCAGGGAAACUUGGGCUAACACCGCAUAAUGCAGCGGCACCACAUGGUGACAGUUGUUAAAGCGGGGGAUUUUAGGACCUCGCGCCUGAAGAGGAGCCUGCGGCAGAUUAGCUAGUUGGUAAGGUAACGGCUUACCAAGGCGACGAUCUGUAACCGGCCUGAGAGGGCGGUCGGUCACACUGACACUGACAUACGGGUCAGACUCCUACGGGAGGCAGCAGUCGGGAAUUUUGGGCAAUGGGCGAAAGCCUGACCCAGCAACGCCGCGUGAAGGAUGAAAUCCCUCGGGAUGUAAACUUCGCAAGAUUGGGAAGAAUUAGUAGGGGUUAAUACCCCCUAUGAUGACGGUACCUUUUGUAAGCUCCGGCUAACUCCGUGCCAGCAGCCGCGGUAAUACGGGGGGAGCAAGCGUUGUUCGGAUUUACUGGGCGUAAAGGGCGCGUAGGCGGUCAGCACAAGUCAGUUGUGAAAUCUCCGGGCUUAACUCGGAAAGGUCAACUGAUACUGUGCGACUAGAGUGCAGAAGGGGCAACUGGAAUUCUCGGUGUAGCGGUG
Molecule: ribosomal RNA, 690 nt
Filed under: uncultured Acidobacteriota bacterium
Lineage: Bacteria; Pseudomonadati; Acidobacteriota
Description: bacterial SSU rRNA
Rfam family: Bacterial small subunit ribosomal RNA
Source: RNAcentral